ACCCGGAAGAGCAGGGAGGCUUGUGCUCUCGGGACUCAGGUGAGGAAGCUGAGGCCCGGGUUGCCUUCACUGAAGGAGUCAGGUCAUGAGAGCCUGCUCUUUGGGGUGAGCUGAGGAAACUCCGUUCUUUGUCAAUGCUCCCCAAUUCCAGGGAACCUUGAGAUCCCUCCCGCGUGGGCGAGGACCGCUGCGGGCUGGAAAGUCAUCGACACCACUGAGCAGCGGCUCAGGAAGGCACAGGGUCAGUAAAAUACCUUGGAACUAAAACACGGAGGUGGCGCAUUAGAACAAACUUGAACUUUCAGUUGCAAAGCACUGAUCUGCGUUAACAGUUCAAAGAAAAAUACAGAAAAUGCUGCCUCUUGUCCAACAAGAAAACAAUCCAAGGACACAGCUGUUGAUGUGCCCGAGAGUGAGACGGGCUCGUCGUGUUUUGUGCCCAGCGAGGGGCACUCCAGAAGCAUCACCCUCAUUUGCUUUGUCUUCCCUCUUCUGCUUCGUCAACAGCUUGCCUCACUGCGCAUUAGCCAUACCAAGGAAAAUGUCUGCUUGUCCUGAUUAAAGUACUCCUUUGACAAA
This is a long non-coding RNA of Lagenorhynchus albirostris (white-beaked dolphin), 579 nucleotides long. RefSeq lists it as uncharacterized. The transcript is spliced from 2 exons. NCBI's taxonomy places the organism in Eukaryota, Metazoa, Chordata, Mammalia, Artiodactyla, Delphinidae. The record is from RefSeq and is a predicted model, not a curated record.